ACGCUGGCGGCAGCCCUUAUACAUGCAAGUCGAACGAGAAAGUUCCUUCGGGAGCGAGUAAAGUGGCGGACGGGUGAGUAACGCGUAGGAAUCUACCUUUCAGUGGGGGAUAGCUCGGGGAAACUCGAAUUAAUACCGCAUACACCCUUCGGGGGAAAGGGGGCCUCUCCUUGGAAGCUCUCGCUGUUAGAUGAGCCUGCGUGAGAUUAGCUUGUUGGUAAGGUAAUGGCUUACCAAGGCUACGAUCUCUAGCUGGUCUGAGAGGACGAUCAGCCACACUGGGACUGAGACACGGCCCAGACUCCUACGGGAGGCAGCAGUAGGGAAUAUUGGACAAUGGGGGCAACCCUGAUCCAGGCAUGCCGCGUGUGUGAAGAAGGCCUUAGGGUUGUAAAGCACUUUAAGUGAGGAAGAAAAGAUUUAAAUUAAUACUUUAAGUCCCUGACAUUACUCACAGAAUAAGGACCGGCUAACUCCGUGCCAGCAGCCGCGGUAAUACGGAGGGUCCAAGCGUUAAUCGGAAUUACUGGGCGUAAAGCGCGCGUAGAUGGUUUAUUUAGUUGGGUGUGAAAUCCCUGGGCUCAACCUAGGAACUGCAUUCAAAACUUAUAAACUAGAGUACGAAAGAGGAGAGUAGAAUUCAUGGUGUAGCGGUGAAAUGCGUAGAGAUCAUGAGGAAUACCAGUGGCGAAGGCGACUCUCUGGUUCGAGACUGACAUUGAGGUGCGAAAGCGUGGGUAGCAAACAGGAUUAGAUACCCUGGUAGUCCACGCCGUAAACGAUGAGAACUAGCCGUUGGAUCUUUAGAUUCAGUGGCGCAGCUAACGCAUUAAGUUCUCCGCC
Molecule: ribosomal RNA, 843 nt
Filed under: uncultured Gammaproteobacteria bacterium
Lineage: Bacteria; Pseudomonadati; Pseudomonadota; Gammaproteobacteria
Description: bacterial SSU rRNA
Rfam family: Bacterial small subunit ribosomal RNA
Source: RNAcentral